CGGUUCCCUUAACCUGAAUUUCUUUUCCAGACUUACUUCCAAACUGUCUAUCUUCAGUAUGCUUCUAAUUCCUCAGAAAGUAUUUUCACUUUUCUCUUAUGAUUUUCCUCUCACAAUCAAUAUCAUUUGUCAUUCCAAUGUUUGGUCAAUAUGUUGUAGUAAAUAUAUAACAAAAUUAUAUAUGUUAUGCAGACAUUUUCCG
This 202-nucleotide long non-coding RNA is filed under the name Mytilus galloprovincialis (Mediterranean mussel). The record is from RNAcentral. Lineage: Eukaryota; Metazoa; Mollusca; Bivalvia; Mytilida; Mytilidae.